AUUGAACGCUGGCGGAAUGCUUUACACAUGCAAGUCGAACGGCAGCACGGGGCAACCUGGUGGCGAGUGGCGAACGGGUGAGUAAUACAUCGGAACGUGCCCAAUCGUGGGGGAUAACGUAGCGAAAGCUACGCUAAUACCGCAUACGAUCUACGGAUGAAAGCGGGGGAGUCGCAAGACCUCGCGCGAAUGGAGCGGCCGAUGGCAGAUUAGGUAGUUGGUGGGGUAAAGGCUCACCAAGCCUGCGAUCUGUAGCUGGUCUGAGAGGACGACCAGCCACACUGGAACUGAGACACGGUCCAGACUCCUACGGGAGGCAGCAGUGGGGAAUUUUGGACAAUGGGCGCAAGCCUGAUCCAGCCAUUCCGCGUGCAGGAUGAAGGCCCUCGGGUUGUAAACUGCUUUUGUACGGAACGAAAGGCUUUCUCUAAUACAGGGGGCUCAUGACGGUACCGUAAGAAUAAGCACCGGCUAACUACGUGCCAGCAGCCGCGGUAAAG
This 500-nucleotide ribosomal RNA is filed under the name uncultured bacterium. RNAcentral describes it as "bacterial SSU rRNA". It matches the Rfam family "Bacterial small subunit ribosomal RNA", at positions 30 to 525 of the family's 1533-position model. The record is from RNAcentral.